UUUUUUUUUGUUAUUUUGGUUGGGUUUGUUCGGUUUUUUUUUUUUAAGUUUUUUUUCUAAUUUUUUCAAGGCUGACUUUCAGAUUUUCCUCUGGGAAAAAUAACCAAAAAAAACAAAAAACCACCCACGCCACCAACGACCCCCGGAGAGCGACCCCCAAACCCGAGCGGCUCCCGCGGAACCUCGGCCAAAGCCCCGCGCUCGCCUCCGCACCACAACAGCGACCCCGCGUUCCGCCAGGGGGACGGGAACAAAACCCCCAAAACCCCCAAAACGAACCCGAACGGACCGAACCGAACCCGAACGGACCGAACCGAACCCGAACGGACCGAACCGAACCCGAACGGACCGAACCGAACCCGAACGGACCGAACCGAGCCCGAGCAGCGCCCGCAGAGGGCUCGGGGUGCCCUGAGCCCUGCCCAGCCAGCGCUGCGAGCUCUGCCUCGCACGGCUGCUGCCUCCAGGUGACCUCGCCCGGCUCCUUCUCAUCCUCCCUGCUCCAAUUUCCCUUUUUCUUCCUAUUUUCUAUUUCUUCUCCUCAUUUUUCCUCCCUUUUUCUUUCCUCAUUCUCUUUUUCCUUUUUUUUUUCCCCCAUUGUUUCUUCCUUUCUUUCCCCUUUUUUCCACCUUUAUUUCUCUCCAUUAAUUUUUCCACCUUUAUUUCUCUCUCCAUCCUCUCCAUUAUUUUUUCCUCCUUUUCUCCCACCUUUAUUUCCCUCCCCUUCCUCUCCAAUAAUUUUUCCCCUUUUUUCCACCUUUAUUUCUCUCGCCCUCCUCUCCAUUAAUUUUUCCUUUUUUUUUUUUCCGCCUUUAUUUCUCUCGCCAUCCUCUCCAUUAAUUUUCUCUCCUUUUUUUCCCACCUUUCUUUUUCUCCUCCUUCUCUCCAUUAAUUUUUUUUCUCCUUUUUUCCCACCUUUAUUUCUCUCUUUUCCUCACCUCCAAUCUCCGUUUUGUUUUUUUUGGCUGAAAUUCCCACCGGAACAUUCCCAAAACCUUCCCAUUCCUCCCUUCCCCACCCCACCCUUUCCCAUCCCCUCCUCCCCAGGCAGGAGACGGCGACGAAACAGAAAAACAACAACAAAAAAAAAAAAAAAAACCCAAAACCAUCUUAACAAAUCCAUUUUUUCAUUGAACAAAACAGCGAAAAAUAAACAUAUUUUCAUAUACAACAAUAAAAAAAUAGAAAAGCACCGUGCCCUUACCUUUCGCCGUCCUUCUCCGCGGCACGGGUGGCGAUUUUGGGCCGGCAGAGAUAAACCCGGGCUUAUCAGUUUGGCUGCCAAAUCUUGUCCCGAGCCCAGAGCCCUCCGUGGCCCCUCGGGCUCCUCAUUUUUCCGCCCCUCGGGCUCCUCAUUUUUCCGUCCCUCGGGCUCCUCAUUUUUCCGUCCCUCGGGCUCCUCAUUUUUCCGUCCCUCGGGCUCCUCAUUUUUCCGUCCCUCGGGCUCCUCAUUUUUCCGCCCCUCGGGCUCCUCAUUUUUCCGCCCCUCGGGCUCCUCAUUUUUCCGUCCCUCGGGCUCCUCAUUUUUCCGCCCCUCGGGCUCCUCGUUUUUCCUCCCCUCGCCGGGAAAAAGCAGCAAAAAGCGCNNNNNNNNNNNNNNNNNNNNAAAGCGCUGGCGGUGCAAAAUCCGCUCUGCCUUUCCAUGAGAUUCCCAAAAAUUGAGAAAUUAGGGGUGGGGUUUAAAAAAUAAAAAUUAAAAAAAAAUGUUUAAAAUAGCGGGG
RNAcentral lists this long non-coding RNA (1721 nucleotides) under Serinus canaria (Common canary). RNAcentral's name for it is "lncRNA (ENSSCAG00000006870.1)". The record is from RNAcentral. Lineage: Eukaryota; Metazoa; Chordata; Aves; Passeriformes; Fringillidae.